UGCCAGCAGCCGCGGUAAUACGUAGGUGGCAAGCGUUGUCCGGAUUUACUGGGUGUAAAGGGCGUGUAGCCGGGUGUGUAAGUCAGAUGUGAAAUCUGGAGGCUCAACCCCCAAACUGCAUUUGAAACUGCGCAUCUUGAGUGUCGGAGAGGUAAUCGGAAUUCCUUGUGUAGCGGUGAAAUGCGUAGAUAUAAGGAAGAACACCAGUGGCGAGGGCGGAUUACUGGACGAUAACUGACGGUGAGGCGCGAAAGCGUGGGGAGCAAACAGGAUUAGAUA
Molecule: ribosomal RNA, 279 nt
Filed under: uncultured bacterium
Lineage: Bacteria
Description: partial 16S ribosomal RNA
Rfam family: Bacterial small subunit ribosomal RNA
Source: RNAcentral